CAGCAGCCCGGUAAAACGUAGGUGGCAAGCGUUGUCCGGAAUUAUUGGGCGUAAAGGGCUCGCAGGCGGUUUCUUAAGUCUGAUGUGAAAGCCCCCGGCUCAACCGGGGAGGGUCAUUGGAAACUGGGAAACUUGAGUGCAGAAGAGGAGAGUGGAAUUCCACGUGUAGCGGUGAAAUGCGUAGAGAUGUGGAGGAACACCAGUGGCGAAGGCGACUCUCUGGUCUGUAACUGACGCUGAGGAGCGAAAGCGUGGGGAGCGAACAGGAUUAGAUACCCCUGUAGUCCCUGUCUCUUAUACC
This 301-nucleotide ribosomal RNA is filed under the name uncultured bacterium. RNAcentral's name for it is "partial 16S ribosomal RNA". It matches the Rfam family "Bacterial small subunit ribosomal RNA", at positions 509 to 808 of the family's 1533-position model. The record is from RNAcentral.